Molecule: ribosomal RNA, 252 nt
Filed under: uncultured bacterium
Lineage: Bacteria
Description: partial 16S ribosomal RNA
Rfam family: Bacterial small subunit ribosomal RNA
Source: RNAcentral
UACGGAGGAUGCGAGCGUUAUCCGGAUUUAUUGGGUUUAAAGGGUGCGCAGGCGGCGUGUCAAGUCAGCGGUAAAAUGUCGGGGCUCAACCCCGGCCGGCCGUUGAAACUGGCGUGCUCGAGUUGGAGAGAAGUAUGCGGAAUUCGUGGUGUAGCGGUGAAAUGCAUAGAUAUCACGAAGAACCCCGAUUGCGAAGGCAGCAUACCGGCUCCACACUGACGCUGAGGCACGAAAGCGUGGGGAGCAAACAGG